CUCGCCCGCCGCCUCCAGCUACUCGCCGGCUUCGCCACCCGCGCCGCUGCCUGUCUUGCAACGAGCGCCGGAGCAGCCUACAUACAAGAGUAGCGUUCAAGACAACAUGCGCAGCUUGGGAACCGCUGGCUGAAACUGCAAGUUGUUGUCUCUACCAAUUAGCCUUACCAAGCCGGGCUCCUUCUAUCUCGUGUUAGAGCUUGGUAACGACGGCCACACAAUGACAAGGUUGGCAAUUAACAACUCUCUUCUUCGUGGCAUGGCUGUUUCACGGUUAGAUUGAUGCUGCUGUAUGUGGUUGAUGGAGGAAGCACGGGGAGGAGCAAAAACAAAUGGUGAUGGAGGAGGAAAAACAAAUGGCGAUCUCCAUGUACAAGGGGCUCAUUGGUCGCUUGGCCUGCUUUUGGUAUAUCAAUGAGGAUAUCCCUGACAUAAAUUCGUUUAGUGACAGUCUUGGAGAGAAAUUUACUACUGUCGAUGCACACACUCAUUCGGGGUAGAAUCUGAUCUCGAGUGCUGAUUGUUUCUCGAUUUCACGCCUCUUCUUCUCCACCGCACCCUUGCUCAGGCAUCAACAGCUUGUUGCCAUGGUUUGAAUCACACAUGUUCAGUUGAAUGGAUAUCUAAGAGGACCAAGGUGAUGUUGUUGUGAGAUAUUUGCAAAGGGAGGACAACCUACAAAUAUUGACCGAUAAAUUAUCCAUCAUAUGUAUCUUUCAUCCCACCACCCCCGCGGCAUCCUCUCCCUCGUGCCGAUUUGUUGCCCGACCGUGCAGACAACAUAGCAAUGACCAUUUGUCGGGUUGUUGUUGCCUUUGGGUUGCUCACUGUAUCGACUGUCUUGUGAUUCCCCACCUGCUUGCCCUGCAUAUUUUCCAUUUGAUGAAAUGUAUACUAGCUAACUCCAUGUUCUUCUAUCAUUUUAUUUUACUUUGCAGGUUCUAUUGUUUGUGACGUGCUUCUUGUUGAUCAUCUGCUGCUUUGGCAUGUCAAGGUUUGUGUUUUUCCUUUCCUUAGCAAUGUAUUGUUUCCUUACUGACGCAAUGGACAGCCAUUCAAAUCCAAUGGUUGGUUGAUUGAUUGUUCUAUUUGAAAUUUCUAACAUGCACAGCAAAAUGCUUAUUCAGUACUAAUUUCUGAAACUCAGGGCCAAUGCUGGUGUCAGGACCACUGCGAUCACAAACAAAGCCAAGUAGCUGCUGCUCCGCUCUCUACUGAAGAAGCAUUUGUAGGUUAUUCUAUGCAUAAGACUGCGCUUUUAUGUGUCGUUUCCUUCAAGCUGUCAUUGCAACAGAAGAUGAAGUGUAUCUUCGUGAUCAGUAGAUCACUGCGUGAUGCCCCAUGUUGUAAUUCUAUCGCUACGUGGACAUGUGCAAGAAAUGCAAGUAAGCAGCCUUGUUCAGAAGUGCUUUAUCAAGUUCCUGUAAACUUGGAAGUUUUC
Molecule: non-coding RNA, 1441 nt
Organism: Triticum urartu
Lineage: Eukaryota; Viridiplantae; Streptophyta; Magnoliopsida; Poales; Poaceae
Source: RefSeq, a predicted model, not a curated record